This 71-nucleotide small RNA is filed under the name Pseudomonas citronellolis. RNAcentral's name for it is "Pseudomonas sRNA P10". It matches the Rfam family "Pseudomonas sRNA P10". The record is from RNAcentral. Lineage: Bacteria; Pseudomonadati; Pseudomonadota; Gammaproteobacteria; Pseudomonadales; Pseudomonadaceae.
GUCACCGACCCGACCGCCUGCCCCGUCCCGGGCCACGGCGUGAACCCGAUCGCCGCCGGCUCCCCCGACGU